UCUACAAGCUCAGCUAGGGGAAAAGAACAAAUUGGAACGGAACAGUUUCCAAACAGUGAAAGAGGUUUUUCCAAACUCAUCCCUAACUGAACAUGAGGAUGAAUUGGCAUUAGGCGAACACAGUCAGUUAUUCAGUCUACCACCUGACAGUGUGUUAAAGUUAAAUUCUGUUAGUGCUGCACUAAAAGAAUUGUUAGUAAUAAGUCCAUGCAGCGAAGGAAGUGAACAUUUGUGGGACCGUAUUUGGGCUGAAAAUGGGUGAGGUACGAAAAGCCAGAAAUAGCACAAGUUCAACAUAAAACAUGAAUUAGAAUUUUAGCAGGGGAUCAAGUCAAGUCUGGAAGUGUUACAGGAUGGAAGAGUGAGCCUACAAUUGAAAAACACUGAAAGUGCAUUACCAUUAAGGUAUGAGGUAAAGUAAUAGAGUAUGCAAAUUGUCUAAUGAGAAGUACCAUCUUGUGUGAAUGAAUCCUGUGUAACAGCAAUCCUUUAUAGUUCUGUCACAGCUAGAAGCCUCAAAUAAUUCUGCUUCUCUUUCUAAAGAACAACUUGUCCUUUACGUUCAGAGUGUUGGUGAAGCUGGGUACUUAAAUGGCCCUAAAGAUGUUUCAUUUCGUUGGCAUUGCAGCGAUGAACAUCAUGCAUGGACUCUUUAGGAAAGAAUUUUCAGCAUACUGGGAACACAAUUAUCAACAAGGCAACAUUCAAGGGGUGCUAUUUUAUCAUUCAAGAGCCUUAUACAAUGAUUUUCAUCUGCGAUUUGUAUGGACUUUCCCAAGCUUCUGCCAGAAGUUGAAUCUAUAAGUCAUGUAAGUCACAUGACCAACAAUUGAGAUGCUUAAUGGUGUUGUUUUUCUUUUCUCAGCAUAGGUUAAUAGUAACAUUGGAUCUGAAAAGAUUCUUGGUUGGGGCAAGACACUGAAUAAAUUGUAAUGAUUGAAUGGAUGACAUGACAUUUCUAUACUUAAUUUGGAUUCCCUUGACGGUAUUUUAUAUUUAAAAAAUUGAAGUGCAUAUCUGGGCUCCCUUCCUUUCCGUAGCCCCGUUUCCC
Daphnia carinata is the source of this 1051-nucleotide long non-coding RNA. RefSeq lists it as uncharacterized. NCBI's taxonomy places the organism in Eukaryota, Metazoa, Arthropoda, Branchiopoda, Diplostraca, Daphniidae. The transcript has 4 exons. The record is from RefSeq and is a predicted model, not a curated record.